Long non-coding RNA from Onychostoma macrolepis, 1993 nucleotides. RefSeq lists it as uncharacterized. The transcript has 6 exons. Lineage: Eukaryota; Metazoa; Chordata; Actinopteri; Cypriniformes; Cyprinidae. The record is from RefSeq and is a predicted model, not a curated record.
UGUAACAUAUUUUAGUACUAUGUAGGUCUACUGUAUGUAUUACUGUAUUAACUACUAUUAUUUCAUACUAAUAUUACUACUACAUUUACUAUUAGUAGUAGUAGUAGUAUGUGUAAGAAAAAUAAUAUUGCACGUUCUUUUUAUUGUACUUUACAAAUCUCAAAGUGCUACCACAGACAAUAUCAGUAACACAAUAACAGUGUAACAAUUAGAAAUAAGUUCUGUAAUAAUUACAAAUAAGAUCUUUGGAAUAAAAUGUGGCCUUGAGUUUAUUUUCAUCAAAAUAUCAAGUAAUCUGCGUAGAAUUGACAAUAUGAGCUCUGUUGGGUUGUCUAAAUAAUUUGCGUGUGACUUGUGUAUUUUUUCCCAGAUGGAUAUUGCAAUUGAAAAAGGGGGGUCUCUGCUGCAGUCAUUUCCACUGUCCAUUUUGUGAUGCCUCAGUUUUCCAACCAACACGGUUGGCAAAAGUGCAAACACAUCUGCAGGCACAUUUCAAUUGAUCGGUCCAGCAUGAAGAAUUUACAAUACACAGAUGUGGACACCUCUGCAGAAGUCAACCACAUUAUCACUGCCUCUACUGCAAAUCAACAAUUUUAAGAAAACCUGAUUUUAUUAAACAUUUAGCACUCUGCAAACAAAAACACCAACCACCAACCUCUCACACUAAAGCCAACUUCUGCCACAGCUCUGCCCACCAUUCAUGUUGGAUUUUUGUGUUGCACAACAUUUUUGGGCCCAUAAGACAUUGUGCCCAGGGGCCUCUGAAUUCUUAAUCUGGGCCUGAUUAUUAUUUUUAUUUUUUUAUUUGUUUUCAUUAUAGAAACUUGAGGAUGCUGAAGAUCCCGACUGCAGCGACAAUCAACAGAGAUCCAGCAGCAGCAGCAAUCAACACUAUCAGAGAUACAGAGUCUUCUGGAGGACCUGAAGGAGAGAUUGGUGUGAUUAUUAAGAGAAGUGAAAGCGUCAGCGCAGGUUCUGCCAGGAAAACUAACGAGCACAUGUGCCAUAUCAAAGUACCGCAAGAGCAAAACGAGACCAACCGCCGAGGUCAGGCGCUGCAGUUGCUCAAAAUCGGCUGCGAGAGCCUUGAUGACGACACACUUUAUCCUCAAUGGUUUUUAAAUAUUUUUGACGUCUUUCAGCAUCCGUCUUCAUCUCUACAUCAACCUACACCAUGAUAAGAUAGCAAGCACACUCGGGCCGAUUCUGGCUGAAAUGCGGCACAGUCGGCUCAGUCUCGGCAUCAGUGAGAAGAUAAUGGGCCAGAGUCGCGCCAACUCUACAAAACACUUCUGGCUGACAGACGGCUUUUUCUCUCUGGGCCGAUCUCGGCUGAAAGCUGUUGUACGGGCAGCAGGUACUACACUCGGUGUAGUUGUGUGUAUACCUCUGGCCCGAGUUGGUUUUGUCUCCGGCGGGCCACUGCUAGAAUGAAUGAACUCAGCCGCUGAGAGAGAGAUUUGGCGGUUAAUCCUGAGGAGCUUUCGGCAGGCGCAGUUCUCAAGAGGAAUACUUCAGCUGCAAAAAGAUACCUUAAAGGAUUUUUAUGCUGCACUAAUUAGGGUUACAGUAAUCAGCUGAUCCAGUUGUAUCCAGACCAGAUGGUGGACCUGCACCCAGGAGCGACCACAACACAUCCCUGAAUGUCAGUGGAGACCAUGUCAGCUAGACGGGGGAGAUGUAUGUUUGUGACUUGAAGGGUGAUCUAGGGCCUAUAUAAGGGGAAAUGGGCUUCAAAAUCAUGAUAUAGUAGAAUGUUAUUUACUUCCUCACCAUGUAUGGAAAAACACAGCUACAGAGAACUUGUGAGCUUGUAACCUUGAGUGCCUAGAGUGUAUAAAGGUGGUGGAGCGUCCUCACCGUUUGUCGCACUCUGCAGAAACCUGUGUGUCUGUAUGACUGUUGACCUUUGCAAAGAAUAAAACCUUUUUAAAGACUAAGAGUGAGUUUGUCUCUUAUGCUGGCGAGAGUUAUUUAAAAUUGCCCCAACAUU